This 150-nucleotide ribosomal RNA is filed under the name uncultured bacterium. Its description in RNAcentral is "partial 16S ribosomal RNA". It matches the Rfam family "Bacterial small subunit ribosomal RNA", at positions 355 to 509 of the family's 1533-position model. The record is from RNAcentral.
UGGGGGAUAUUGCACAAUGGGGGAAACCCUGAUGCAGCGACGCCGCGUGGGUGAAGGAGCACUUCGGUGCGUAAAGCCCUAUCGGCAGGGAAGAAAAGGGGGAAACCCCAGACGGUACCCUGACUAAGAAGCCCCGGCUAACUACGUGCC